UGGCCUUCCGAGAAAAAACAUUGCAAGAUCUGCUAGAGGGACUGGAAGCAAUAGGAAACAAUAGGGCUGCUUCAAUUGUCAAAAAAGGGGCUCAGAAGAAAGGCCUUUACAUACAGUAUCCCGGUCGUCGCCCUCCUCCUCACGUCUGCAGUACUGGCAAUCCACAAGAGCACCAGGAUGCAGAUUGAUUUUUCCCGCAUACAGUACGGGGAACAAGCCGAAUCAUAACGUGAAUUAGUUCAGGUAUAAGAAACUACAGGAAGUGCCGGCCAUUCCCCUGGCCCUGGAUUGGCUGGCUACUUCAUGCAUGGGAAUCGUGGUUUCCGUGUUUUCCUCUUACUUGUCAUUUUUUUUAUAGAAAAGCUUGAGUGGACAAUGUUACUUGUAAAUCGUACGACAUUUUUGGUGCACGUAGUAUGCUUGACAAGGUUGAUUAAUAUUAAUGUUUUAAUUAAGUUUGCAUCACUUUUCUACUUUUUUUUACCUUAUUUUUAUUGUCCCAUUUAGUGGUUCUUGUACUUCUAUAAUUUCAGCUUAACACUUAAAUAAGGGCUUUGUUCCUAUCAUUACAGUCGUUAGCAAGUUGCAAUUUAAAUCUACACAAAACAAUUAACUUGUAGUAGGCUUAUGCGUGCCGCGAAAAAAAAAUUGUUUUGCUUUAAUUGGCCCCAAGUUGAUCAGAAGGAAAUUUUUUUCCAGUUUUCCUUGCCUCAGUGGAAAAGUUAAUUUCAACAGGAAAAUUUGGUAGUUAGUUGGUAGUAUGAUGUAAGUUUUAGGCAAGUGCAAACUCAAUAUUUACAUAAUAGCAGCUCAUGGCAAACUCCACCAUAUCUAAAAUUAAAUGGAAAAGUACUAGAGCAAUUUACAGUACUGAAAGCUACCGAAAUUAUUGAAACAAUAGUGCUAGUUAGAGGCCAGAUUAUUAUUGCUGAUCAUAAGUUUUAAACUGAUAGUUUAAAGGGAUUAAUAAAUGAGUAAAUAAAUAAAUUAUUAAAUGCUUUUUUGAGGAAAAAAUUUGCCAUGUUUCGUAAACAUAUAAAAAAGCCAUUAACCAUGGUAAUCAGCUGUCUAUCUGUAUCAUAUCGUGCAACACCUUGCGGGGCUCAACACUAACACUUACCCGCUUUCCAUUGGAAAGUAUAUUUGCUUCUAGGAAAGUAAAAAAAUCAAAACUGAACCAAAAUACUUACAAGAUCCGGUGAGUAAAUUUUGAGCUAUGUUGGAAAGUAAUGUUUAGGCAAAGCAAAUGCAUAAAAAAUAAUCAAAUGAUAGAAAUAACCGGAUCCGACAAUGAUCUUCUGUCUUCAAAAGGACAAGUUUACACCAUUCUAGCAUUUACUGAUCUGCCAUAUUGGAGUAUUGGGAGAGCUGCUGAGUAGGUCUGGGUGCAAUAAAUACAUGUGGUAUGGUGCAAUUCAAUCCACCAUUUUGGAUUCCUCCUCCUACCUCCAUUUCGAAAAGUAAAAUUUUGAGAUGGAAAGUAAAAUUUGAAAUCUACGUUACAGAAUGGAAAGUAGUGUUAAAAGUUAGUGUCAAGCCCUGCCUUGUAGUGAGAACCACAUGAGUUUGUAAGUAGUUAAUAUUAUGAAAGGGACUGACUUGCCUAUGAUGAAAAAGCCUAGAACAACAAUGAGGUCAUAAGCAGCCAAUAGUGGUUUAGGAUUAGUAGACGAAAGAUUUGCCUCGUUUCGAAAGUUCUGGAAUUUUUAGUCGAAUGGAAGGCGCCCAUAAUCAACUGAAUCGUAAAGUUAGCGUAUAUAUCUAGGGUAGAUAAAAUUAAAAGAAUCAUGGAAACAGA
This 1798-nucleotide long non-coding RNA is filed under the name Orbicella faveolata. Its description in RNAcentral is "uncharacterized LOC110058917". Lineage: Eukaryota; Metazoa; Cnidaria; Anthozoa; Scleractinia; Merulinidae. The record is from RNAcentral.